CAGCUAGUUGUCUUGGAUCCCGUUGCCUGCAGAUCUGGGACCCUUCAAUUAAAGCGGCUUAAGGCUCCCGCAGGGGUUUGGUCGGUAUUGCACUUCAAGUGCUGAAGCCGACAUACAGUCUAGGAAUGCUUACCCGGGCGACCUGGAUAUCACCCGUAAAUGGGUUCCCCUGC
Long non-coding RNA from Melitaea cinxia (Glanville fritillary), 173 nucleotides. RefSeq lists it as uncharacterized. Lineage: Eukaryota; Metazoa; Arthropoda; Insecta; Lepidoptera; Nymphalidae. The record is from RefSeq and is a predicted model, not a curated record. The transcript is spliced from 3 exons.